This 94-nucleotide ribosomal RNA is filed under the name Lepisosteus oculatus (spotted gar). The record is from RNAcentral. Lineage: Eukaryota; Metazoa; Chordata; Actinopteri; Semionotiformes; Lepisosteidae.
GCCAGCAGUCAUAUCACCUGCAAGCUCAGCAGGUGUGAGCCUGGUCAGUACCUGGAUGGGAGAUCUCCUGAGAAAGCUGAGGCUGCUGCUGGAA